RNAcentral lists this ribosomal RNA (403 nucleotides) under bacterium. RNAcentral describes it as "partial 16S ribosomal RNA". It matches the Rfam family "Bacterial small subunit ribosomal RNA", at positions 355 to 776 of the family's 1533-position model. The record is from RNAcentral. RNAcentral also lists the same sequence under 1 other name.
UGGGGAAUAUUGCACAAUGGGGGAAACCCUGAUGCAGCGACGCCGCGUGAACGAAGAAGGUAUUCGUAUCGUAAAGUUCUGUCCUAUGGGAAGAUAAUGACAGUACCAUAGAAGAAAGCUCCGGCUAAAUACGUGCCAGCAGCCGCGGUAAUACGUAUGGAGCGAGCGUUGUCCGGAAUUAUUGGGCGUAAAGGGUACGCAGGCGGUUUAAUAAGUCGAAUGUUAAAGAUCGGGGCUCAACCUCGUAAAGCAUUGGAAACUGAUAAACUUGAGUAGUGGAGAGGAAAGUGGAAUUCCUAGUGUAGUGGUGAAAUACGUAGAUAUUAGGAGGAAUACCAGUAGCGAAGGCGACUUUCUGGACACAAACUGACGCUGAGGUACGAAAGCGUGGGGAGCAAACAGG